CGCGUAGGUGGGAGAGAAAGUCAGAUGUGAAAUUCUUAGGCUCAACCUGAGAACUGCAUUUGAAACUUCUUUUCUUGAGGUUAGACGGAGAAAACAGAAUUCCACAAGUAGCGGUGAAAUGCGUAGAUAUGUGGAAGAAUACCGGUGGCGAAGGCGGUUUUCUAGUUUAUACCUGACACUGAGGCGCGAAAGCAAGGGGAUCAAACA
RNAcentral lists this ribosomal RNA (207 nucleotides) under uncultured bacterium. Its description in RNAcentral is "partial 16S ribosomal RNA". It matches the Rfam family "Bacterial small subunit ribosomal RNA", at positions 568 to 774 of the family's 1533-position model. The record is from RNAcentral.